Molecule: long non-coding RNA, 478 nt
Filed under: Rattus norvegicus (Norway rat)
Lineage: Eukaryota; Metazoa; Chordata; Mammalia; Rodentia; Muridae
Description: long non-coding RNA NONRATT023048
Source: RNAcentral
UCGCAGGCUAGGCGCACGCGAGGCUGGCCGCGCCGCUGCACGCUUGUGCUAGUCGUCCGAGGCGCGGUGAGCGCGGUGGACGCUGAGGCGCUGCUGCAGGAGUCCAGGAGCCCCGGUGUCCCUAGAGCACUCAGCAAGGCCCCGGUUCUCUGCAGUCCCUAGAGCAGCUCGCGAUGGCCCCGCGCAAGAACGCCAAGGGCGGCGGCGGCAACAGCAGCAGCAGCGGCAGCGGCUCGGGCAGCGGUAGCCCGAGCACCGGUAGCAGCGGUAGCAGCAGUAGCCCCGGGGCGCGGAGAGAGGCAAAGCACGGAGGACACAAGAAUGGGCGGAGAGGAGGAAUUUCCGGAGGGUCCUUUUUCACGUGGUUCAUGGUCAUUGCGUUGCUGGGCGUCUGGACAUCGGUGGCCGUCGUGUGGUUUGACCUCGUUGAUUAUGAGGAAGUUCUAGCCAAAGCGAAGGACUUCCGUUAUAACUUAUC